This is a small nucleolar RNA of Perognathus longimembris pacificus (Pacific pocket mouse), 81 nucleotides long. RefSeq annotates it as small nucleolar RNA SNORD19B. The record is from RefSeq and is a predicted model, not a curated record. NCBI's taxonomy places the organism in Eukaryota, Metazoa, Chordata, Mammalia, Rodentia, Heteromyidae. The transcript has a single exon.
GGAUGGUUGAAAUAUGAUGUGCUACAAAAUAAUUGAUUUUAAGUGAAAAAUAGUAAGAUCCAACUCUGAUUUCAUCCAGAC